Long non-coding RNA from Brassica napus (rape), 994 nucleotides. RefSeq lists it as uncharacterized. NCBI's taxonomy places the organism in Eukaryota, Viridiplantae, Streptophyta, Magnoliopsida, Brassicales, Brassicaceae. The transcript has 2 exons. The record is from RefSeq and is a predicted model, not a curated record.
GAUAACUUGUGUGCUCAUAUUAUAUUUGUAUAAUCAUUGAGUUGUAUGAAAAAAUGUUUCUCUGAGUAAAUGGUCUCCAAGCAAUCGAGUGCUUCUAGAAACAUCAUUUUGACAUAAAAUAGGCUAAGACUUGGUCGCUUCAUCGGUUAACCCAUUCAUAAGUUUGCUCUAUGCUCCUUCAUACGUGUGUGUAUUUUACGAAGAAAUAUGAUCAAAGAAGGGUAGUAUUGUAAAUAAAAGCGAACAGCAGGGAAGUUUACAAAAAAUGACAAAGACUUAUACUCUUCUUAUUGUUGUAUCUACUUCUUCAGAGCGAAGCAAGAGACAAAGUACGUAUAUUGUAUUUGGUAAGGAAGAGGAAGAAGCAGAGGUUCUUGAGAGAUGGCCUGAAGAAGCUAACUUUAAAGAGUGCCAAUGUCAUAAAAGGGGUCCUAUGGCACACAGGGUUAAGUCAGGCGAAAGAAGAAAUUAAAAGAAAAGGUCAUGUAUACAACAAUGUCAAUGGCGAAGAUCGCUUCAACCAUGGUGUCUUUGUCUCCUCCUCUUCGUGCUCAGCUCCUACGUCCAAGAUGCCGUCGAUGUGAGGUCUCGUCCACCGGUGGUCAUUGCUCUUCGUCGCGUCUCGUCAACAUCGACUUCUCCACGUCUCAAGCCCACGACCUCUCCAUCUCCAAAUCAUGUUCUAUGGCGUGUCUCUGCUGCGUCAUAGCCGACUCUCCAUUGUCGUAAACGAGAUGGGACGAGAAGUGCGAUCUGCAACAUCAACGGAGGAGUAUCAUUUUUUUGUAAUUUUGGUCCUCUAGUUUACUCUUUCUUUCACAAUAUGCUUCAAACUUCCAAUCUGAUCAAAUUACUUCACAAAUUUACCCCAACAUUGAUGUACAUAUAUGGAUAACAUACUAGUAUGCACCGGUGUACAUGUGAGUCGUUGUACAAGUGGACAACGAUAUGUGUGUACAUUUGAAUGCUAUUUAAAUUUGCAAAUGUUAUAACU